UACGAGGGGGGCAAGCGUUGUUCGGAAUUACUGGGCGUAAAGGGCGCGUAGGCGGCGCAAGAAGUCAGGCGUGAAAGCCCCGGGCUCAACCUGGGAAUUGCGCUUGAUACUCUUGUGCUUGAGUUCGGGAGAGGUGAGUGGAAUUCCCAGUGUAGAGGUGAAAUUCGUAGAUAUUGGGAAGAACACCGGUGGCGAAGGCGGCUCACUGGACCGAUACUGACGCUGAGGCACGAAAGCUAGGGGAGCAAACAGG
RNAcentral lists this ribosomal RNA (253 nucleotides) under uncultured bacterium. RNAcentral's name for it is "partial 16S ribosomal RNA". It matches the Rfam family "Bacterial small subunit ribosomal RNA", at positions 524 to 776 of the family's 1533-position model. The record is from RNAcentral.